This 466-nucleotide small RNA is filed under the name Oryza sativa Japonica Group (Japanese rice). Its description in RNAcentral is "misc RNA MAP70.2". The record is from RNAcentral. Lineage: Eukaryota; Viridiplantae; Streptophyta; Magnoliopsida; Poales; Poaceae.
CAGUCAGCAUGAAUUUCUUCGAUAGUUUCGGAUUUCCCUUUGUAUUUGUUCCUCUGUUCGUAUUAAUUUUGUGAUUGAGAUAGCACAGAUGACCCUGCGACACCUAGAUUGGGGAAAGAGUAGGCUUGCAUCUGACAUCGGCUUUGCUGUAAUGUAGUGAAGGUAAUCCUUCGGUAAGGUUUAACCUUGCGGCACGCUCCCAUUUUGUCAAGGCAGUGCACGUUGUGGUUGUAUAGGCUGGAGGACCUUGUCUUCUUCCCUUCUGUAAUUUAGAUAGUGUGUUUGCUUUUGCUUGUCAGGGUUGUGAAUAUAUUAUUAUCGCAAUAUAUUAGGGUCACCCUCUCCCGCUCUAUUUGAGCUUGGUUGGGCUGUAAUUGAUUUCUCGUGUUUAACUGAUGUAGCACAAUUAACUCUUGAUAUUUUGUUUCAACCUCGAGCUGAAUCAGAAUGGUGGUUUCUUGCUUGC